GACGAACGCUGGCGGCGUGCUUAACACAUGCAAGUCGAACGGAAAGGCCCUGCUUUUGUGGGGUGCUCGAGUGGCGAACGGGUGAGUAACACGUGAGUAACCUGCCCUAGACUUUGGGAUAACUUCAGGAAACUGGGGCUAAUACCGGAUAGGAGCUCCUGCUGCAUGGUGGGGGUUGGAAAGUUUCGGCGGUUGGGGAUGGACUCGCGGCUUAUCAGCUUGUUGGUGGGGUAGUGGCUUACCAAGGCUUUGACGGGUAGCCGGCCUGAGAGGGUGACCGGCCACAUGGGGACUGAGAUACGGCCCAGACUCCUACGGGAGGCAGCAGUGGGGAAUAUUGAACAAUGGGCGGAAGCCUGAUGCAGCAACGCCGCGUGCGGGAUGACGGCCUUCGGGUUGUAAACCGCUUUCGCCUGUGACGAAGCGUGAGUGACGGUAAUGGGUAAAGAAGCACCGGCUAACUACGUG
RNAcentral lists this ribosomal RNA (468 nucleotides) under uncultured bacterium. Its description in RNAcentral is "partial 16S ribosomal RNA". It matches the Rfam family "Bacterial small subunit ribosomal RNA", at positions 28 to 507 of the family's 1533-position model. The record is from RNAcentral.